This 358-nucleotide transfer-messenger RNA is filed under the name Clostridia. RNAcentral's name for it is "CAG-465 sp000433335 Standard tmRNA". It matches the Rfam family "transfer-messenger RNA". From Rfam's summary of the family: Bacterial tmRNA, also known as 10Sa RNA or SsrA, is named for its dual tRNA and mRNA-like properties. RNAcentral also lists the same sequence under 1 other name. Lineage: Bacteria; Bacillati; Bacillota. The record is from RNAcentral.
GGGGGUGUAUUAGGUUUCGACAACUUUCUAAACAUUAAAAUAGCGAGUAGUGGAUUCUCGUUGGCCACUAUAAAAACGAGAAAAUUAAAAUAAACGCAGACAGAGAAGUUUGUCUUGCUGCUUAAUUUAUAGCGGCAUGUUCUGUUAGAUUGUGCUAAAAGGUUUAACAAGAGCAUCGAUUAUUUUAGCAUAACAAAUCUAUUUUUGAUUGCAAAAUAGAGGGUACUUUAGCAAUCCUUUUAUCUACACGUUUUGUAAAUGUUAUAGGUAAAUAAAAGUAUUAAAACAUUUACUGCACUCGGAGAAAUUUUAAUGUAAGGGAUUUUGGACGUGGGUUCGACUCCCACCACCUCCACCA